Phyllostomus hastatus (greater spear-nosed bat) is the source of this 213-nucleotide small nucleolar RNA. RefSeq annotates it as small nucleolar RNA U3. The transcript has a single exon. Lineage: Eukaryota; Metazoa; Chordata; Mammalia; Chiroptera; Phyllostomidae. The record is from RefSeq and is a predicted model, not a curated record.
ACGACUGUACUUUCAGGGAUCAUUUCUAUAGUUCUUGACUAGAGAAGUUUCUCGGAAUGUGUAGAGCACCUGAAACCACGAGGAGAAGACACAGUGUUUUCUUCUGAGCAUGAAGCUGGUUUUUGGUGUUGUUUUUGCAACUGCCAUAGCCAUUGGCGUCUGUUCUUCUCGUCCUUUGGAAGAGUGAGAGGGAGAGAACACAGUCUGAGUGGA